UACAUGUGGGGCAAGCGUUGUUCGGAAUUACUGGGCAUAAAGGGUGCGUAGGUGGUUUGGUAAGUCAGUGGUGAAAUCGUCCGGCCCAACCGGACACGUGCCAAUGAUACUGCCGAACUCGAGUGCGUGAGGGGUGGGGGGAACGAGCAGUGUAGCGGUGAAAUGCGUAGAUAUCAGGAAGAACACCGGUGGCGAAAGCGCUCUGCUAGGCCGCAACUGACACUGAGGGACGAAAGCUAGGGGAGCGAAUGGG
RNAcentral lists this ribosomal RNA (253 nucleotides) under uncultured bacterium. RNAcentral's name for it is "partial 16S ribosomal RNA". It matches the Rfam family "Bacterial small subunit ribosomal RNA", at positions 524 to 776 of the family's 1533-position model. The record is from RNAcentral.